GAGUUUGAUCCUGGCUCAAAACGUACGCUGGCGGCACGCCUAACACAUGCAAGUCGAACGAAGUAGCAAUACUUAGUGGCAGACGGGUGAGUAACAUGUAGGUAUCUGCCCUUUGGCCUGGAAUAACACGAGGAAACUUGUGCUAAUACCGGAUAAGUCUUUACGGAGAAAGCUUUAUGCACCAUUGGAUGAGCCUGCACUUGAUUAGUUUGUUGGUGGGGUAAUGGCCUACCAAGACUGUGAUCAAUAGCUGAUUUGAGAGGAUGAUCAGCCACAUUGGGACUGAGACACGGCCCAAACUCCUACGGGAGGCAGCAGUGGGGAAUCUUGCACAAUGGAGGAAACUCUGAUGCAGCGAUGCCGCGUGAGUGAAGAAGGCCUUUGGGUUGUAAAGCUCUUUCGUCGGGGAAGAAAAUGACUGUACCCGAAUAAGAAGGUCCGGCUAACUUCGUGCCAGCAGCCGCGGUAAUACGAAGGGACCUAGCGUAGUUCGGAAUUACUGGGCUUAAAGAGUUCGUAGGUGGUUGAAAAAGUUGGUGGUGAAAUCCCAGAGCUUAACUCUGGAACUGCCAUCAAAACUUUUCAGCUAGAGUAUGAUAGAGGAAAGUAGAAUUUCUAGUGUAGAGGUGAAAUUCGUAGAUAUUAGAAAGAAUACCAAUUGCGAAGGCAGCUUUCUGGAUCAUUACUGACACUGAGGAACGAAAGCAUGGGUAGCGAAGAGGAUUAGAUACCCUCGUAGUCCAUGCCGUAAACGAUGUGUGUUAGACGUUGGAAAUUUAUUUUCAGUGUCGCAGCGAAAGCGAUAAACACACCGCCUGGGGAGUACGACCGCAAGGUUAAAACUCAAAUGAAUUGACGGGGACCCGCACAAGUAGUGGAGCAUGUGGUUUAAUUCGAAGAUACGCGCAGAACCUUACCAACACUUGACAUGUUCGUCGCGACUCUAAGAGAUUAGAGUUUUCGGUUCGGCCGGACGAAACACAGGUGCUGCAUGGCUGUCGUCAGCUCGUGUCGUGAGAUGUUGGGUUAAGUCCCGCAACGAGCGCAACCCUCACUUUUAGUUGCCAUCAUUUAGUCGGGCACUCUGAAAGAACUGCCAGUGAUAAGCUGGAGGAAGGUGGGGAUGACGUCAAGUCCUCAUGGCCCUUACGUGUUGGGCUACACACGUGCUACAAUGGUAUCUACAACAGGAAGCAAGACUGCGAAGUUAAGCAAAUCCCUAAAAGAUACCUCAGUUCGGAUUGCACUCUGCAACUCGAGUGCAUGAAGCUGGAAUUACUAGUAAUCGUGGAUCAGCGUGCCACGGUGAAUGCGUUCCCGGGUCUUGUACACACCGCCCGUCACACCAUGGGAGUUGGUUCUACCUUAAGGCAAGGUUUUAAACCCUUGACCACGGUAUAGUCAGCGACUGGGGUGAAGUCGUAACAAGGUAACC
RNAcentral lists this ribosomal RNA (1435 nucleotides) under uncultured marine bacterium. RNAcentral's name for it is "bacterial SSU rRNA". It matches the Rfam family "Bacterial small subunit ribosomal RNA". The record is from RNAcentral.